AGCGAACGCUGGCGGCAGGCUUAACACAUGCAAGUCGAGCGGGCAUCCUUGUGGUGUCCGCGGCAGACGGGUGAGUAACACGUGGGAACGUGCCCUUCGGUUCGGAAUAACUCAGGGAAACUUGAGCUAAUACCGGAUACGUGCGAGAGCAGAAAGGUUUAUCUGCCGAAGGAUCGGCCCGCGUCUGAUUAGCUAGUUGGUGAGGUUAUGGCUCACCAAGGCGACGAUCAGUAGCUGGUCUGAGAGGAUGAUCAGCCACACUGGGACUGAGACACGGCCCAGACUCCUACGGGAGGCAGCAGUGGGGAAUAUUGGACAAUGGGGGCAACCCUGAUCCAGCCAUGCCGCGUGAGUGAUGACGGCCUUAGGGUUGUAAAGCUCUUUUCUCCGGGACGAUAAUGACGGUACCGGAGGAAUAAGCCCCGGCUAACUUCGUG
RNAcentral lists this ribosomal RNA (437 nucleotides) under uncultured bacterium. Its description in RNAcentral is "partial 16S ribosomal RNA". It matches the Rfam family "Bacterial small subunit ribosomal RNA", at positions 29 to 507 of the family's 1533-position model. The record is from RNAcentral.